RNAcentral lists this long non-coding RNA (1980 nucleotides) under Salmo salar (Atlantic salmon). Its description in RNAcentral is "lncRNA (ENSSSAG00000105757.1)". Lineage: Eukaryota; Metazoa; Chordata; Actinopteri; Salmoniformes; Salmonidae. The record is from RNAcentral.
GGUUAGUAUAGAAUAAUGGAUGCAUAUCAGAAUGUAGGAGGUAUAAUUGGGGGGUUAGUAUAGAAUAAUGGAGGUAUAUCAGAAUGUAGGAGGUAUAAUUUGGGGGUUAGUAUAGAAUAAUGGAGGUUUAUCAGAAUGUAGGAGGUAUAAUAGGUGGGUUAGUAUAGAAUAAUGGAGGUAUAACGGAGGGUUAGUAUAGAAUAAUGGAGGUAUAACAGGGGGUUAGUAUAGAAUAAUGGAGGUAUAACAGGGGUUUAGUAUAGACUAAUGGAGGUAUAAUAGGGGGGUUAGUAUAGAAUAAUGGAGGUAUAAUAAGGGGGUUAGUAUAGAAUAAUGGAGGUAUAAUAGGGGGGUUAGUAUAGAAUAAUGGAGGUAUAAUAGGGGGGUUAGUAUAGAAUAAUGGAGGUAUAAUAAGGGGGUUAGUAUAGAAUAAUGGAGGUAUAAUAAGGGGGUUAGUAUAGAAUAAUGAAGGUAUAAUAGGGGGGUUAGUAUAGAAUAAUGGAGGUAUAACAGAAUGUAGGAGGUAUAAUAGGUGGGUUAGUAUAGAAUAAUGAAGUUAUAAUAGGGGGUUUAGUAUAGAAUAAUGGAGGUAUAAUAGAAUGUGGGAGGUAUAAUAGUUGGGUUAGUAUAGAAUAGUGGAGGUAUAACAGGGGGAUAGUAUAGAAUAAUGGAGGUAUAAUAGAAUGUGGGAGGUAUAAUAGGUGGGUUAGUAUAGAAUAAUGGAGGUAUAACAGGGGGGAUAGUAAAGAAUGUAGGAGGUAUAAUAGGUGGGUUAGUAUAGAAUAAUGAAGGUAUAAUAGGGGGGUUAGUAUAGACUAAUGGAGGUAUAAUAGAAUGUAGGAGGUACAGAAUAGAAUAUAGAAUAAUGAAUGUAUAAUAAGGGGGUUAGUAUAGAAUAAUGGAGGUAUAAUAGGGGGGUUAGUAUAGAAUAAUGAAGGUAUAAUAGUGGGGUUAGUAUAGAAUAAUGGAGGUAUAAUAGAAUGUAGGAGGUACAGAAUAGAAUAUAGAAUAAUGAAGGUAUACUAAGGGGGUUAGUAUAGAAUAAUGGAGGUAUAAUGGAGGGUUAGUAUAGAAUAAUGGAGGUAUAACAGGGGGUUAGUAUAGACUAAUGGAGGUGUAACAGGGGGUUAGUAUAGAAUAAUGGAGGUAUAACAGGGGGUUUAGUAUAGAAUAAUGGAGGUAUAACAGGGGGUUAGUAUAGAAUAAUGGAGGUGUAACAGGGGGUUAGUAUAGAAUAAUGGAGGUGUAACAGGGGGUUAGUAUAGACUAAUGGAGGUGUAACAGGGGGUUAGUAUAGAAUAAUGGAGGUAUAACAGGGGGUUAGUAUAGAAUAAUGGAGGUGUAACAGGGGUUUAGUAUAGAAUAAUGGAGGUGUAACAGGGGGUUAGUAUAGAAUAAUGGAGGUAUAACAGGGGUUUAGUAUAGAAUAAUGGAGGUAUAACAGGGCGUUAGUAUAAGAUAAUGGAUGUGUAACAGGGGGUUAGUAUAGACUAAUGGAGGUGUAACAGGGGGUUAGUAUAGACUAAUGGAGGUGUAACAGGGGGUAAGUAUUGAAUAACGGAGGUAUAACAGGGGUUUAGUAUAGAUAAUGGAGGUUUGUAAAGAAACGUUACAGUUGGAGUAAAUGCACCACCUACAUAGAACUAGAUUAGCCAAACAUUCCAAGAUUGAAAAAUGAAGUUGUUACUGAAUAAAAUAAAUAGCAACAAUACAUUUUAUUUGUAUUGCGCUUUUCAAGACACUCAGUGUAUGGGCAUUAGGCAAUAUAUGAAACAAUAAUAGAAGUAGAGACGUGAGAACCAUGGUGUUAUGGACUUUAUUUACACAAUAAAGGCAUCAGCCCCUCUCUCUAAACUGCCUAAAGAGAGGGGCUGCACAGUAAAGAAACUGACCAGCUAUACUGCAACAUACACCAACAUUAAUAAGACAGGGAAUUACAAUCCAAUAUCUACACUGUCCAUCACAACUUUUCAAAAUGGC